Molecule: ribosomal RNA, 253 nt
Filed under: uncultured bacterium
Lineage: Bacteria
Description: partial 16S ribosomal RNA
Rfam family: Bacterial small subunit ribosomal RNA
Source: RNAcentral
UACGGAGGUGGCAAGCGUUGCUCGGAAUUACUGGGCGUAAAGGGCUCGUAGGUGGCCAACUAAGUCGGACGUGAAAUCCCUCAGCUUAACUGGGGAACUGCGUCCGAUACUGGAUGGCUUGAGUUUGGGAGAGGGAUGCGGAAUUCCAGGUGUAGCGGUGAAAUGCGUAGAUAUCUGGAGGAACACCGGUGGCGAAGGCGGCAUCCUGGACCAACACUGACACUGAGGAGCGAAAGCCAGGGGAGCAAACGGG